GCUUUACCUGCAGGCAGAAUGUAAGCCCUGCCAGGCCUUCUGUUGAGACAUCUUGGGAUUUGGCGGUCUUCGUCUCUGAACCCACCGAUGUUGGGAGAAUGCUCAGAUGACUCUGAAUCUGGGAAUUACCCCAGAGUUGCAUGUUCGUUUCCUGCAUAUUUUUGUAUUGUGGGUUAAAAAAGCAUGAAUGGCAUGGCGUGUUAGUAAGAACUCUGGAUGAAAUGGCCAAAAAAUUUGCAUUCAUGUCCCAACUCUGCUACUUGCCAACUGCAUGACUGUGGAUAGUACACAUGCUCUCCCACUUAACCAUAGAAUGAAGGAAUUGGAUGAAAAUUCUCUUUUGCUCCACGGUUCACUUCAGCUUCACAUUUAUGCUUGCUCGGAGAUAAUUAAUAAAACCUUCCAGCUUUUUGAAUUGUGAAAGUGCAUACUCUCCUGCCAGUGGAAAUUUCUGAUUGUUACACAGUCUCACCCCAGAGAUGGACUUGCUUUACCUUCACGAGAUCCAUAUUUCUGUGGGUCAUUGAGUACAGAAGAACUGGCCUGGAUCUAUCCAUUACUCUAAGCAGUGAAGCCUGGUGAGCAGAGGAGACUGAAGAUGGAGAGAGAGCCUGGACCUCAACAUGAGCAUUUGGAGCCAUUUGGCAGCAUUAGGCUGUGACCGCUUGGAGAACCGAAAGAUGGAGUCUUGCUCUAUUGCCCAGGCUGGAGUGCGGUGGCAGGAUC
Molecule: long non-coding RNA, 726 nt
Organism: Chlorocebus sabaeus (green monkey)
Lineage: Eukaryota; Metazoa; Chordata; Mammalia; Primates; Cercopithecidae
Source: RefSeq, a predicted model, not a curated record